RNAcentral lists this ribosomal RNA (300 nucleotides) under uncultured Haloterrigena sp. Its description in RNAcentral is "bacterial SSU rRNA". It matches the Rfam family "Bacterial small subunit ribosomal RNA", at positions 496 to 795 of the family's 1533-position model. The record is from RNAcentral. Lineage: Archaea; Methanobacteriati; Methanobacteriota; Halobacteria; Halobacteriales; Natrialbaceae.
GCGAAUGACGGGUGAGGAGGCGCGGUAAGACGGAGGUGGUGAGCGUGGGCCGGAUUCAGUGGGCGGAAAGCGCGCGCAGGCGGCACGGUAAGUCGGAUGUGAAAUCUCACGGCGCAACCGUGGAACUGCAUUCGAUACUGUCGGGCUAGAGGCAGGUAGGGGAGAUCGGAAUUCCCGGUGUAGCGGUGAAAUGCGCAGAUAUCGGGAGGAACACCGGUGGCGAAGGCGGAUCUCUGGGCCUGUCCUGACGCUCAGGCGCGAAAGCUAGGGGAGCGAACAGGAUUAGAUACCCGGGUAGUC